GUGAGGAAUCUUGCGCAAUGGGCGAAAGCCUGACGCAGCGACGCCGCGUGGAGGAUGAAGGUCUUCGGAUCGUAAACUCCUGUCGAGCGGGACGAAUCCCGGAAGGGCAAACAGGCCUUCCGGUUGACGGUACCGCUGGAGGAAGCCCCGGCUAACUCCGUGCCAGCAGCCGCGGUAAUACGGAGGGGGCCAGCGUUGUUCGGAAUCAUUGGGCGUAAAGGGCGCGUAGGCGGCCGAGCAAGUCAGAGGUGAAAUACUCCGGCUCAACUGGGGAAUUGCCUCUGAAACUGCUCGGCUUGAGUCCUGGAGAGGGUAGUGGAAUUCCCAGUGUAGCGGUGAAAUGCGUAGAUACUGGGAGGAACACCGGUGGCGAAGGCGGCUACCUGGACAGGUACUGACGCUGAGGCGCGAAAGCUAGGGGAGCAAACAGGAUUAGAAACCCUAGUAGUCC
Molecule: ribosomal RNA, 451 nt
Filed under: uncultured bacterium
Lineage: Bacteria
Description: bacterial SSU rRNA
Rfam family: Bacterial small subunit ribosomal RNA
Source: RNAcentral